Molecule: ribosomal RNA, 159 nt
Filed under: uncultured bacterium
Lineage: Bacteria
Description: partial 16S rRNA
Rfam family: Bacterial small subunit ribosomal RNA
Source: RNAcentral
UGGGGAAUAUUGGACAAUGGGCGAAAGCCUGAUCCAGCAAUGCCGCGUGYGUGAAGAAGGCCUGAGGGUUGUAAAGCACUUUCAAUGGGAAGGAAAAAAGUCGGGCUAAUACCCCGAUUCUUGACAUUACCUAUAGAAGAAGCACCGGCUAACUCCGUG